Molecule: ribosomal RNA, 497 nt
Filed under: uncultured bacterium
Lineage: Bacteria
Description: partial 16S ribosomal RNA
Rfam family: Bacterial small subunit ribosomal RNA
Source: RNAcentral
GAUGAACGCUGGCGGCGUGCCUAAUACAUGCAAGUCGAGCGAACGGACGAGAAGCUUGCUUUUCUGAUGUUAGCGGCGGACGGGUGAGUAACACGUGGAUAACCUACCUAUAAGACUGGGAUAACUUCGGGUAACCGGAGCUAAUACGGUAUAAUAUUUUGAACCGCAUGGUUCAAAAGUGAAAGACGGUCUUGCUGUCACUUAUAGAUGGAUCCGCGCUGCAUUAGCUAGUUGUUAAGGUAACGGCUUACCAAGGCAACGAUGCAUAACCGACCGGAGAGGGUGAUAGGCGACACUGGAACUGAGACACGGUCCAGACUCCUACGGGAGGCAGCAGUAGGGAAUCUUCCGCAAUGGGCGAAAGCCUGACGGAGCAACGCCGCGUGAGUGAUGAAGGUCUUCGGAUCGUAAAACUCUGUUAUUAGGGAAGAACAUAUGUGUAAGUAACUGUGCACAGCUUGACGGUACCUAAUCAGAAAGCCACGGCUAACUACGUG